CCCACCCCCCCCAACUUCGGCCGAUGGGGCCGCUGCCGCCGAACCCCGAGCUGCUGGCUUCUCAAACUCCGCCGCUCCUUGGUUCAGGGCCCCUUAAUCAGACGAGCCCCCCGCUCCCCCGUCUCUUCAAAAUGGAUGAAUCAAACCAGCCGAAAAUGCGCCAAAGCCGCCGUGCAACCGAACCCACUAGGGCUUCCAGGCUCCGCCCCAACAGGCCUGACCAUUGGUGGGUUCUGCCAGAUGCGUGGAGCUCAUUAGUCCGUUUGAAUCAUCACGUCUUCCAAGCCCCGCCCCCUCUGAUAGGCUCCGCCUCCUCCGUGGGGUCCUGUUAGUCAAGCUGCUUUGAGAGUACAUGGCCGCAAAACAAAAAUGGUCGCGGCUCGGUUUCCACUCCGCCCCCUGGCUUCCACUCCGGAGUUGCAGAUUCGUCUUGGGUCGCAUCUUGGAACGACAAGAAAAAAAAAUUAUAUAGGGUUCAAUAUCGUUUAGUUUCAGUUUAAUGAUGUUUCAUUUCGCCUGCUUUGAUAAUUGUAGAAACUCCACUAAUAGCAAAACCUGGGGCACAGGCAGCUGAUUCGUCACUGAGGGGCUGUUUCAGAAUUGGAGGGAAAUUCCAUAGGUUCAAAUAAUUUGACCUUAAACCCACAAACCCCUUUUCCUGGCCUCGGAAUGCUGCUGGAGUAGAGCCAGUGUUGGUGGGCCUCCUCCAAUUAGCUGAAAGUCUAAACAGAACAAAAGGCUGACCUUGUCCUGAGUAAGAACUCUCCUAUUUGGUGGACUUCCGCGCUCCUGCCAGCUCUCUCAGCCUGCCAGUCUGGGGACUGAACUAGGACACCAGCUCUGCAGACGCACCAGUCUCCAUAACAUUCCCAGAGCUGCAAGGAACAGAUCUAUUUGGGGGUACCAUUCCAACUGAUGUCAUUUGCAGCAUUUUGCAUCAAGGUGUUAACCCAGAAACCUGCAAACCUACCUUCACCCCAGUGGUAGGGAGACUGAAAAAAACCCUAAUGUGAGAAUUAAUUUUUCUGUGGAAGGAAAUGCUCUCAUCAUAUGAUAGGUAAUUCAAAUAACUGACUCUUCUUUAAAGUCAGGAAAAAAUAUCUAACUAUGACUACAAGCUUCAGAAAUAGUGACUUUUAGGUGUCUUCCAGUAGUCUAAGAUCCCCAGAUAUCCUUUUGUAUCCCCCCUCCUUUAGCAUCUCAGAAUCAGAGCCCAAGACAGAAAGAACCUGAAAAUAAUGACCGACAAGGAAUUUGGGAAAUAAAUAA
This is a long non-coding RNA of Talpa occidentalis (Iberian mole), 1269 nucleotides long. RefSeq lists it as uncharacterized. Lineage: Eukaryota; Metazoa; Chordata; Mammalia; Eulipotyphla; Talpidae. The transcript has 3 exons. The record is from RefSeq and is a predicted model, not a curated record.